Molecule: ribosomal RNA, 255 nt
Filed under: uncultured Acidobacteriota bacterium
Lineage: Bacteria; Pseudomonadati; Acidobacteriota
Description: uncultured Acidobacteria bacterium partial 16S ribosomal RNA
Rfam family: Bacterial small subunit ribosomal RNA
Source: RNAcentral
UACGGGGGGAGCAAGCGUUGUUCGGAUUUACUGGGCGUAAAGGGCGCGUAGGCGGCCACUGCAAGUCAGUUGUGAAAUCUCCGGGCCUAACCCGGAAAGGUCAGCUGAUACUGCAGGGCUAGAGUGCAGAAGGGGCAACUGGAAUUCUCGGUGUAGCGGUGAAAUGCGUAGAUAUCGAGAGGAACACCUGCGGCGAAGGCGGGUUGCUGGGCUGACACUGACGCUGACAGCGCGAAAGCUAGGGGAGCGAAUGGG